CCUACGGGUGGCAGCAGUGAGGAAUAUUGGUCAAUGGUCGGGAGACUGAACCAGCCAAGCCGCGUGAGGGAUGAAGGUACAGAGUAUCGUACACCUCUUUUGUCAGGGAACAAAGGCUGUACGUGUCCCCUGCUUAGUUUACCUUCAGAAAAAGCAUCGGCUAACUCCGUUCCAGCAGCCGCGGUCAUACUGAGGAUGCGAUAGUUAUCCGGAUUUACUGGGUUAAAGGGGGGCGCAGGCGGUGUGUUCAGUCCGGGGUAAAAGCCCGGGGUUCAACCCCGGCCCGCCGUUGAAACUGGCAGUCUCGAGUUGGAGAGAAGUAUGCGGAAUGCGCGGUGUAGCGGUGAAAUGCAUAGAUAUCGCGCAGAACGCCGAUUGCGAAGGCAGCAGGCCGGCUCCACACUGACGCUGAGGCACGAAAGCGUGGGUAUCGAACAGGAUUAGAUACCCCUGUAGUC
This 458-nucleotide ribosomal RNA is filed under the name uncultured bacterium. RNAcentral describes it as "partial 16S ribosomal RNA". It matches the Rfam family "Bacterial small subunit ribosomal RNA", at positions 338 to 795 of the family's 1533-position model. The record is from RNAcentral.